GGGUCGUUAGCUCAACUGGCAGAGCAGCGGACUUUUAAUCCGCGGGUUCAGGGUUCGAUCCCCUGGCGACCCA
RNAcentral lists this transfer RNA (73 nucleotides) under Saccharopolyspora hordei. It matches the Rfam family "tRNA". From Rfam's summary of the family: Transfer RNA (tRNA) molecules are approximately 80 nucleotides in length. Their secondary structure includes four short double-helical elements and three loops (D, anti-codon, and T loops). RNAcentral also lists the same sequence under 3 other names. The record is from Rfam by way of RNAcentral. Lineage: Bacteria; Bacillati; Actinomycetota; Actinomycetes; Pseudonocardiales; Pseudonocardiaceae.